RNAcentral lists this ribosomal RNA (759 nucleotides) under Haemophilus influenzae. RNAcentral's name for it is "bacterial SSU rRNA". It matches the Rfam family "Bacterial small subunit ribosomal RNA", at positions 28 to 776 of the family's 1533-position model. The record is from RNAcentral. Lineage: Bacteria; Pseudomonadati; Pseudomonadota; Gammaproteobacteria; Pasteurellales; Pasteurellaceae.
AUUGAACGCUGGCGGCAGGCUUAACACAUGCAAGUCGAACGGUAGCAGGAGAAAGCUUGCUUUCUUGCUGACGAGUGGCGGACGGGUGAGUAAUGCUUGGGAAUCUGGCUUAUGGAGGGGGAUAACUACGGGAAACUGUAGCUAAUACCGCGUAGAAUCGGAAGAUGAAAGUGCGGGACCGCAAGGCCGCAUGCCAUGAGAUGAGCCCAAGUGGGAUUAGGUAGUUGGUGGGGUAAAGGCCUACCAAGCCUGCGAUCUCUAGCUGGUCUGAGAGGAUGGCCAGCCACACUGGAACUGAGACACGGUCCAGACUCCUACGGGAGGCAGCAGUGGGGAAUAUUGCGCAAUGGGGGGAACCCUGACGCAGCCAUGCCGCGUGAAUGAAGAAGGCCUUCGGGUUGUAAAGUUCUUUCGGUAUUGAGGAAGGUUGAUGUGUUAAUAGUACAUCAAAUUGACGUUAAAUACAGAAGAAGCACCGGCUAACUCCGUGCCAGCAGCCGCGGUAAUACGGAGGGUGCGAGCGUUAAUCGGAAUAACUGGGCGUAAAGGGCACGCAGGCGGUUAUUUAAGUGAGGUGUGAAAGCCCCGGGCUUAACCUGGGAAUUGCAUUUCAGACUGGGUAACUAGAGUACUUUAGGGAGGGGUAGAAUUCCACGUGUAGCGGUGAAAUGCGUAGAGAUGUGGAGGAAUACCGAAGGCGAAGGCAGCCCCUUGGGAAUGUACUGACGCUCAUGUGCGAAAGCGUGGGGAGCAAACAGG